This 1545-nucleotide small RNA is filed under the name Pongo abelii (Sumatran orangutan). RNAcentral describes it as "retained intron". The record is from RNAcentral. Lineage: Eukaryota; Metazoa; Chordata; Mammalia; Primates; Hominidae.
GCCGGCGUCCGGGCUGGCUGGGCAGGGAGCGGCGGCACCGAGCCGGGGAUCCCGGCGCCGCCCGCGCGCGGUGGAGCGGGGGUUGCGGUCCCGGCCGGGUGGCGGGCUCCUGGGACACGUGAACGGGGCGGCGAGCGGGCUGGGCGGACGGGCUUCCGCCUGGGCCGGGCGCGGCCCCCUCUGAGCGCCCGCCCUCCCCGCAGGCCCCGUCUGAGGUCUGGCAGUCAGAGACAGAGCCGGGCGCCCACGGCCCGAGCGCCCACGGCAGCACCAUGCCCGCACUCCUGGAGCGCCCCAAGCUUUCCAACGCCAUGGCCAGGGCGCUGCACCGGCACAUUAUGAUGGAGCGGGAGCGCAAGCGGCAGGAGGAAGAAGAGGUGGAUAAGAUGAUGGAACAGAAGAUGAAGGAAGAACAGGAGAGAAGGAAGAAAAAGGAGAUGGAAGAGAGAAUGUCACUAGAGGAGACCAAGGAACAAAUUCUGAAGUUGGAGGAGAAGCUUUUGGCCUUACAGGAAGAGAAGCACCAGCUUUUCCUGCAGCUCAAGAAAGUUUUACAUGAGGAAGAAAAACGGAGGCGAAAGGAACAGAGUGACCUGACCACCCUGACAUCCGCUGCAUACCAGCAGAGCCUGACUGUUCACACAGGAACUCAUCUCCUCAGCAUGCAGGGGAGCCCUGGAGGACACAAUCGCCCAGGCACCCUCAUGGCAGCUGACAGAGCCAAACAAAUGUUUGGACCCCAAGUGCUAACGGUGAGAGUAGGAUUGGAUGCCUAGCCCCUAGUACUUCCAUCCAUGCAUCCUUGCCACCAGUAUUCAAGUUACAAACAUAUAUCAAACACUUAAGUUUAGGGGGGAAACGGGGCAUACAGAUAUACACAAGUCACUGGGUUUCAGCUUUCAAGGAGUUUAUAGGCGAGUUCUCAUUCUCCGUCCUUAGACCCGGCACUACGUGGGCUCAGCAGCUGCUUUUGCGGGGACACCAGAGCAUGGACAAUUCCAAGGCAGUCCUGGUGGUGCCUAUGGGACUGCUCAGCCCCCACCUCACUAUGGGCCCACACAGCCAGCUUAUAGUCCUAGUCAGCAGCUCAGAGCUCCUUCGGCGUUCCCUGCAGUGCAGUACCUAUCUCAGCCACAGCCACAGCCCUAUGCCGUGCACGGCCACUUUCAGCCCACUCAGACAGGUUUCCUCCAGCCUGGUGGUGCCCUGUCCUUGCAAAAGCAGAUGGAACAUGCUAACCAGCAGACUGGCUUCUCCGACUCAUCCUCCCUGCGCCCCAUGCACCCCCAGGCUCUGCAUCCAGCCCCUGGACUCCUUGCUUCCCCCCAGCUCCCUGUGCAGAUGCAGCCAGCAGGAAAGUCGGGCUUUGCAGCUACCAGCCAACCUGGCCCUCGGCUCCCCUUCAUCCAACACAGCCAGAACCCGCGAUUCUACCACAAGUGACCAUCAGAUUAUAUCUUCAACACCAUACCCCCCACCCCAUCGUGGGUGAUGGUACCCCGCCCCCCGUGUGUCCCAGGCCAAUAAAAUCUACCUGCCACUGCC